GACGAACCGUCCUAACGUUGUUCGGAAUCACUGGGCUUAAAGGGCGCGUAGGCGGGUGCUCAAGUCCGUGGUGAAAUCCUCCGGCUCAACCGGAGAACUGCCUCGGAUACUGGGUGCCUCGAGGGUGGUAGGGGUAUGCGGAACUAUCGGUGGAGCGGUGAAAUGCGUUGAUAUCGAUAGGAACUCCGGUGGCGAAGGCGGCAUACUGGACCACCUCUGACGCUGAGGCGCGAAAGCCAGGGGAGCAAACGGG
This 253-nucleotide ribosomal RNA is filed under the name uncultured bacterium. RNAcentral's name for it is "partial 16S ribosomal RNA". It matches the Rfam family "Bacterial small subunit ribosomal RNA", at positions 524 to 776 of the family's 1533-position model. The record is from RNAcentral.